This 323-nucleotide unclassified non-coding RNA is filed under the name Basidiomycota sp. Its description in RNAcentral is "partial contains small subunit ribosomal RNA, internal transcribed spacer 1, and 5.8S ribosomal RNA". The stretch from base 1 to 47 matches the Rfam family "Eukaryotic small subunit ribosomal RNA", at positions 1785 to 1831 of the family's 1831-position model. The record is from RNAcentral. Lineage: Eukaryota; Fungi; Basidiomycota.
AAAGUCGUAACAAGGUUUCCGUAGGUGAACCUGCGGAAGGAUCAUUACUGGAAAUAUUCGAGGUUGUAGCUGGCCUUCCGGGGCAUGUGCUCGCCUUGAUUCAAAUCCAUCUAACACCUGUGCACUUAAUGUAGUCUAUUGAAAACGGGCUUGUUUCUCUCUCUCUCUCUCUCUCUUGGGUCACACCAAAGGGGGGGGAGGGAAGGACAGUCUUUUUGAUUUAGAUCUACGUCUUUCACACAUACACUUAAAAAGUUUAGAAUGUAAUACUUGUGAUAAAUACACAUUUAAAACAACUUUCAACAACGGAUCUCUUGGCUCUC